Molecule: ribosomal RNA, 397 nt
Filed under: uncultured bacterium
Lineage: Bacteria
Description: partial 16S ribosomal RNA
Rfam family: Bacterial small subunit ribosomal RNA
Source: RNAcentral
AUACGUAGGGGGCGAGCGUUGUCCGGAAUGAUUGGGCGUAAAGGGCGCGUAGGCGGCCCGGUAAGUCUGGAGUGAAAGUCCUGUUUUUAAGAUGGGAAUUGCUUUGGAUACUGUCGGGCUUGAGUGCAGGAGAGGUAAGUGGAAUUCCCAGUGUAGCGGUGAAAUGCGUAGAGAUUGGGAGGAACACCAGUGGCGAAGGCGACUUUCUGGGCUGUAACGGACGCUGAGGCGCGAAAGAGUGGGGAGCAAACAGGAUUAGAUACCCUGGUAGUCCACACUGUAAACGAUGAAUGCUAGGUGUAGGGGGUAUCGACCCCUUCUGUGCCGCAGUCAACACAAUAAGCAUUCCGCCUGGGGAGUACGGCCGCAAGGUUGAAACUCAAAGGAAUUGACGGGG